CAACGACAAGUGCUUGGUAUUAUUUUAUAGUAAAUUGCACUUACAAUUAACAAAAAAAAAAAAUUCAUAAAUAAUUUCCACGUGCUAAUAGAUUUCCUGUAUCAGCAGGACUGUUGCUUUUAUUUCGUUUGAAAGUUAUUGACAAUGAAUAUCGGCCGCUUGUAUAUCGUCCAACCUGUGCAAUAUAUCGUUUUUCCAGUUAUUAAUUACAAGGAAAUCAUACGUCCAGUCGUUAAAGGAUACGAUUCUCUUGUUUUGGACAAAUGCUGGAUAUUUCAAUUACAUUGACUUCUUACCAAAAAUCUUUUAUGUUUGUAACGCAACUACACCAUUUUCCUCUACUACACGUUGAAACGAUGGAAACGAGGAGGCAAAAGAAAAGAAUGCAGAAGCCGUUCGAACGUUCGCCAAAGGAGAUAACAUAACCCAGAUUACUUUAUCAUGUUAAGCGAUGACAGCGUCCAUAGGUGUGUGAAGUCGGACAGAAAGUCAACGCGUUGACCAACGCGUUGAAGUGGUAGCGAUAAUGGCUGCCCGUUGAUGAUAUACAAUACAAGCAACCACGUCGUUUGCCUACGCGGCGAUCAACAUAAAUCGCGAGAAACGCUUUCAGCGUGAAAAAUAGCUCGCCUUUUGAUCGAUCCGUAUCGCGCCCGACUGUGCCAUACGAUUUCUACAUGCACGCGCGUGCCCACUUUAUUAUACAUGUAAAAGUUGAA
Molecule: unclassified non-coding RNA, 719 nt
Filed under: Bombus terrestris (buff-tailed bumblebee)
Lineage: Eukaryota; Metazoa; Arthropoda; Insecta; Hymenoptera; Apidae
Description: misc RNA ENSBTSG00005028001.1
Source: RNAcentral